CCCCUAAAGCAGGAUUGCCCUUUUAAAUGAGUCUUUUUCCCAGCAAGCCUUUCUGGGGCUGUCUUCUUAAAUUUGGCAAAGACUGACAGCUGUAACUUUAAGAAGUGGCCAUUUUAGAACUGGCUGCUGUUCAAGGACUCUUCUACACCUUCCACUGGGGACCCAGCUGAAGAAAAUUCUUGAUGCCCGCGACACAACAGGGCUGGCGAUGAGGGGCGCAAACCUCGACUGUCCAAGGGAUGGACCCUGACUGUUCCACGGAAUGAACCCUGACCACAAUGAGGAUGAUUCUGGAAUCCUGGACAGAACCAAGGAAGACUGAAGACGCUGGACCACAGGAACACUCUGGAGCACAGGAACAGGGCGCGAUGAUAACCAGGGGUGCUGGAACACUUUGUAUAAUGGAGGUGCCGAAAGCCAAUGAAGCAAACUGUAAACCCGUAUAUGAUGGAAUCCAUUUCAAGACAGGAGGUGCUGCCAUACCCCUAGUUUGAGCACCUAUGCUCUGCUUUUCAGAACACACAUUGGGCACUUGCUGUUUGUGACAAACUGUUAUAUGUAGGUCUAUGGUUAUAAACUCUGUAGCGUUUCUUGAUGGAUUACAGCUCAUAAACAAUUCUUUUUCCAAAAUGUGUCUUUCCAUUUGAUUAGACUAAAGAUAACACAUCAAUGUACUGAACUUUUUUUCUCUUAAGAUAGCAUGCAAUUUAAUUAAAUCUUUUUCAUUUCUUUUGACAUGUGAAAUAUGAGCUCUCUUGUGAAAAGCGUCUCUUGAUUACUGGGCACAGACUUUGCUGGGGAAGAUAUAAUUUUCUCUGCAUACAGUACAACUCUCAUUUGUUUGGGUUUUUUUCUCCCAGCAUAACAGAUAUUCGUAACAUUACAUAGCCACCCUUUGCUGAUGUCAGCUGA
Long non-coding RNA from Dermochelys coriacea (leatherback sea turtle), 912 nucleotides. RefSeq lists it as uncharacterized. The record is from RefSeq and is a predicted model, not a curated record. Lineage: Eukaryota; Metazoa; Chordata; Testudines; Dermochelyidae. The transcript is spliced from 4 exons.